RNAcentral lists this long non-coding RNA (2328 nucleotides) under Monodelphis domestica (gray short-tailed opossum). Its description in RNAcentral is "lncRNA (ENSMODG00000034827.2)". Lineage: Eukaryota; Metazoa; Chordata; Mammalia; Didelphimorphia; Didelphidae. The record is from RNAcentral.
AAAAAUUAUUCCAAUGAGAAGAGAGCUGCCUAUGUGGCUGCAUGGGGAACUCAUGAAUAAAUUCAUCUUAAAAAAAUAUGUGUGUGUGUCUGUGUCUGUGUAAUCAUCUUUAGAGCAUGCCCAGAUCAUUUACCAUAGAGAUAUCCAGACAGGCCAUUGGAAUAUGCCUAGAUUGCCUAACAUGGAGGCAUUCUUCCCCUUUUACCAUAUGGGUAGGAAAAGCCUUCUUUGAUUAGCUGCAAAGCCAUAAAGACUACAUCUUUAAAAUUGGCAGUACAACAAACUCUUUCUGGUCAAGCUUUUUUUUUUCUGAGUGGUUCUCUUUCAUGCUGUGUCCAGUUAGGUCUGUUCAUAGUGGGGCCACCAUGAACAGAACCAGUAAGAAGGCAAGCAGUUCCUUCCCCUGCUCCCUCUUUUAGCUCAGCUCUAAACAAUGGGCUGGGGUGUUUGUCUUGUUCAGUUUUGUCUGUCUUUUUCAGGUUCAGGUUCAAGCAGCAAUCCCACUACACCUGGGAAUUUGAGUCAUAGGAAACUCAAAGGGAGGAAGUCCUUGAGAAAAGAUGAGGAGACCAAGGCUAAGGAGCUUAAUGAUCGCUCAAAGUCACACAGGAAGCUGACUGCAGAGGAAGGACUGGAAUACAAGCCUCCAGUCCACAGUCAUUUAAAAGAGACCAGGAAGGACAAAGGGAGUAUGUUCAAUGGUUUGUUUUCCUCUGUUCAUUGGUGUCCCUUUCAGAGCAUUCUGGCCCAUCAUGGCCCUUGCCCUGGAAGGCUGAGCCAGCAACCCUCGGCUCCAUGAGUUCUCAGCAUGAAAUGCCUCCAGUUUGUACCCUGGGGAGGGAUGUGGUGAUACACUCUCUCCGAUGCGCAGACAAGUGGUGCCCACAGCAUCCUGGCAUGCCAAAAUGUGGGAUGCUUUAGAAGGCUGACUAGACCCUGGAGACCCAGAGACAAUGGAAGAAAAGAAGAGAGAGAAACCACACACACACACACACACACACACACACACACACACACACACACACACACAGUCUUUUAGGCUACUUUUAGGAAGGAACACCUCACACAGAGCCAGCUUUGUUAAGAAAGCAGCCUGAUGUGGAAGGAGCACCAUUAAUGGGAGAGAGGAGACUCAAUUGGGAAUUCUGGUCUGCCAUUUUUAAGUUGUGUGACCUUAGGCUUUUGUGUUUCAAAUACCAGGCUUUCACUGAAUAAUCAUUGAGGUCCCUUCUAGCUCUGACAUGCCCCCUAAAGCUGCUGGGGGGGGGGGCUUGAGACAGGAAGUGCCUACUAGUAGGAUGCUAGGAAGUCCCCCCACACACACACUUCAGUGGGGCAGGGAAAUGGAAGCCUUUACCCCAGUUUCUCAGUCCCAGUUCAACUAGAUCCAAAUAAGGCCCUACAGAUGACUCAACCCCUGUCUCUAUCUGAUUGUCAAAGUUACUUCUUAGAAUUCAGGAGUCACUUCCCCCUCCUCCCCCUUCUCCAUCCUCUGAAGAACCCACAGCCAUCACCAUGACUCACUGGAUAAUUCUGUCCUUUCACAACUGCUUUUGCCAUUAGUUGUGCUCAAAUUAGUAUUCAAACUUUUUAGUGCAAAGAUUGCUAGACUUGGGGAUCCCAAGGCCUGGGUUCGAGUCCUUAUUAUGAAUAGUCACUUAUUAGAUGUAUAAAUAACCCUUAGCAAAUUACUUUGUCUCUUUAGGACUCUCAAUGUUCUUAUUGGUAAAAUAUUGAUAAUAAUAUUUUAUAUUAUCAUCUUCACAGGAUUGAUUUGAGAAAGUACUUUAUAAAUCAAAAAGUACUAUGGAAAGGGGUCAACUAGGUGGCUCAGUGGAUUGAGAACAAGGCCUAGAGACAGGAGGUCCUAGGUUCAUAUCUGGUCUCAGACAUUUUCUAACUCUGUGACCCUGGGCAAGUCACUUAACCUCCAUUGGCUAGCCCUUACUGCUUUUCUGCCUUGUAAGGGAUAUACAGUAUUGAUUCUAAGAUGGAAGGCAAGAGUUAAAUAGAAAAAUACUAUGGAAAUGUGAGCAAUAAUGAUAAGUCUACAUCUUAUGUCUUUAAUAUGAUUGCCAAUUCCUAGAGAGCAGGGAUUUUGGCACAUGCAAAUAUUCCCUGAGUUAUAAACACUCAAUAAGAUUUCUAAGGUCCUUUAUAUCUCUAGCAUUCCAUAUUCCAUGAUCUAACAUUCUGAGUUCUAAGCAUAGUUAGGACAUAAACUAGAUUCUAUGUUCUAAGAGUCCUUAUGACUUCAAAAGCCUAUGUUGCAUGUUUUAAAAUUCUCUGUUCUAAAAUGUAAAUAAAUAAAUAAAAUUCUCUGUUCUA